Long non-coding RNA from Melanotaenia boesemani (Boeseman's rainbowfish), 104 nucleotides. RefSeq lists it as uncharacterized. Lineage: Eukaryota; Metazoa; Chordata; Actinopteri; Atheriniformes; Melanotaeniidae. The transcript is spliced from 3 exons. The record is from RefSeq and is a predicted model, not a curated record.
CCUCUUCCUUUCCAUCCACCUCUUCCUGGCCUGUCUCUUGUUCUUUCUCUUCAUUGUUGUGUGUUGGUUCAGACUUGACGGCUUAAUCAUGAUAAUAUUUUAGA